This 193-nucleotide ribosomal RNA is filed under the name uncultured bacterium. Its description in RNAcentral is "partial 16S ribosomal RNA". It matches the Rfam family "Bacterial small subunit ribosomal RNA", at positions 334 to 525 of the family's 1533-position model. The record is from RNAcentral.
UACUCCUACGGGAGGCAGCAGUAGGGAAUUUUCGGCAAUGGGGGCAACCCUGACCGAGCAACGCCGCGUGAACGACGAAGUACUUCGGUAUGUAAAGUUCUUUUAUCAGGGAAGAAUGGCUUACGGAAAAGUGAGCGUGACGGUACCUGAUGAAUAAGCCCCGGCUAACUAUGUGCCAGCAGCCGCGGUAAUA